UCCUAGGGGAUGGGUUGGUAGGAGUUAACCAUCGUGCGAUCCCGACCGCCACACAAAGGAUGACAAUCAAUAAAUCAAUUAUGCUCCGACUUCAUAACAUAGCAGUUCACCAUACGUGCAUGCUACGGGAAUCACUAACCUCAAGACAAGUAUUUCUAGAUUCACAACACCCUACUAUCAUAACCCUAAUAUUACCAUAUCC
This 202-nucleotide long non-coding RNA is filed under the name Hordeum vulgare. RNAcentral describes it as "long non-coding RNA (HVUL_LNC003521)". The record is from RNAcentral. Lineage: Eukaryota; Viridiplantae; Streptophyta; Magnoliopsida; Poales; Poaceae.